GAUCCUGGCUCAGGACGAACGCUGGCGGCGUGCCUAACACAUGCAAGCCGAACGGAACUGUUUUGAAAGAUUUCUUCGGAAUGAAUUUGAUUUAGUUUAGUGGCGGACGGGUGAGUAACGCGUGAGUAACCCUGCCUUCAAGAGGGGGAUAACAUUCUGAAAAGAAUGCUAAUACCGCAUGAUAUAUCGGAACCACAUGGUUUUGAUAUCAAAGAUUUUAUCGCUUGAAGAUGGACUCGCGUCCGAUUAG
Molecule: ribosomal RNA, 250 nt
Filed under: uncultured bacterium
Lineage: Bacteria
Description: partial 16S ribosomal RNA
Rfam family: Bacterial small subunit ribosomal RNA
Source: RNAcentral